GACGAACGCUGGCGGCGUGCUUAACACAUGCAAGUCGAACGGUAAGGCCCUUCGGGGUACACGAGUGGCGAACGGGUGAGUAACACGUGGGUGAUCUGCCCUGCACUUCGGGAUAAGCCUGGGAAACUGGGUCUAAUACCGGAUAGGACCCUGGGAUGCAUGUCCUGGGGUGGAAAGCUUUUGCGGGGUGGGAUGGGCCCGCGGCCUAUCAGCUUGUUGGUGGGGUGAUGGCCUACCAAGGCGACGACGGGUAGCCGGCCUGAGAGGGUGACGGGCCACACUGGGACUGAGAUACGGCCCAGACUCCUACGGGAGGCAGCAGUGGGGAAUAUUGCACAAUGGGCGCAAGCCUGAUGCAGCGACGCCGCGUGAGGGAUGACGGCCUUCGGGUUGUAAACCUCCUUCAGCACCGACGAAGCGCAAGUGACGGUAGGUGCAGAAGAAGGACCGGCCAACUACGUGCCAGCAGCCGCGGUAA
RNAcentral lists this ribosomal RNA (478 nucleotides) under uncultured bacterium. RNAcentral describes it as "partial 16S ribosomal RNA". It matches the Rfam family "Bacterial small subunit ribosomal RNA", at positions 28 to 523 of the family's 1533-position model. The record is from RNAcentral.